UCGUGUUCAUAGGUUGAAGUUCUAACCCACCGUACCUCAGAAUGAGGUUGUAUUUGGAGACAAGGUGGUUAAGUUGAAAUGCAGUCAGGUGUCCUUAUACAAAGAGGAGGUAUGGACACAGACACAUACAGAGGGAUGACCACGUCAGGACACGAGGAGAAGACGGCCAUCUACAAGCCAAGAAGAGAGACCUCAGAAGAAACCAGCUCUGCUGAUGGCUUGAUCUUACUUCCAGCCUCCAGAAUUAUGGUGAUGAACAGGAAUGCUGAUCGCAUUAGCAUUGGCAGUGAAAAAACUAAGUUUCAGAGAGCUUUGUCACUCACCCAAGGUCACAUUAGUGUGAUCUCAAGUCUGUUGUACCUAAAGCCUUUGGAUCUGCUACAACACUGAACUGCUCCCCAUGCUGACACAAAGGACUGAGAACUAAAACCCCCAACAAAUGGAAGAUGUUAACGACUUGAUGAAGCGUUCUUCAUUCCAGAGAGAAGGUCACAGUUUGAUAACUGUGAGAAUCACAGAAGCUCAUCAGGAGACCACCUGAGGCCAGAUUGGAGGAGUGCAGGCCCUGGACACACCCUAAUCCUUAUCAGCAACCCUGCCCUUGAACCAUUGCUAUAAAACUCCUCACUUAAUCCUCCCCAGGUUUGGACACAGUUUUGAGAGGCAUGAGCCCUGUCUGCCCCCU
Hippopotamus amphibius kiboko is the source of this 685-nucleotide long non-coding RNA. RefSeq lists it as uncharacterized. NCBI's taxonomy places the organism in Eukaryota, Metazoa, Chordata, Mammalia, Artiodactyla, Hippopotamidae. The record is from RefSeq and is a predicted model, not a curated record. The transcript is spliced from 4 exons.